GAUGAAGAACGUAGCGAAAUGCGAUAAGUAAUGUGAAUUGCAGAAUUCAGUGAAUCAUCGAAUCUUUGAACGCACAUUGCGCCCGCCAGUAUUCUGGCGGGCAUGCCUGUUCGAGCGUCAUUUCAACCAUCAAGCCCCCGGCUUGUGUUGGGGACCUGCGGCUGCCGCAGGCCCUGAAAUGCAGUGGCGGGCUCACUGUCACUCCGAGCGUAGUAGUUACAUCUCGCUCUGGGCGUGCUGCGGGUUCCGGCCGUUAAAAGCCUUAUUUACCCAAGGUUGACCUCGGAUCAGGUAGGAAGACCCGCUGAACUUAAGCAUAUCAUAAGCGGAGGA
Molecule: unclassified non-coding RNA, 333 nt
Filed under: soil metagenome
Description: partial contains 5.8S ribosomal RNA, internal transcribed spacer 2, and large subunit ribosomal RNA
Rfam family: 5.8S ribosomal RNA (bases 1-120)
Source: RNAcentral